Molecule: ribosomal RNA, 651 nt
Filed under: uncultured bacterium
Lineage: Bacteria
Description: bacterial SSU rRNA
Rfam family: Bacterial small subunit ribosomal RNA
Source: RNAcentral
GCUACGCCGCGUGCGGGAAGAAGCUUAGGGUUGUAAACCGCUUCCAGCAGGAAGAAAAUGACGGUACCUGCAGAAGAAGGUGCGGCCAACUACGUGCCAGCAGCCGCGGUGACACGUAGGCACCAAGCGUUGUCCGGAUUUAUUGGGCGUAAAGAGCUCGUAGGCGGUUCAGUAAGUCGGGUGUGAAAACUCUGGGCUUAACCCAGAGCCGCCACCCGAUACUGCUGUGACUUGAGUCCGGUAGGGGAGCGGGGAAUUCCUGGUGUAGCGGUGAAAUGCGCAGAUAUCAGGAGGAACACCGAUGGCGAAGGCAGGUCUCUGGGCCAUUACUGACACUGAGGAGCGAAAGCGUGGGGAGCGAACAGGAUUAGAUACCCUGGUAGUCCACGCCGUAAACGGUGGGCGCUAGUUGUGGGAACCUUCCACGGUUUCUGCGACGCAGCUAACGCAUUAAGCGCCCCGACUGGGGAGUACGGUCGCAAGACUAAAACUCAAAGAAAUUGACGGGGCCCCGCACAAGCAGCGGAGCAUGCGGCUUAAUUCGACGCAACGCGAAGAAACUUACCAAGGCUUGACAUAUACGGGAAUAUGGCAGAGAUGUCAUAGCCGGCAGGUCCGUAUACAGGUGGUGCCUGGUUGUCGUCAGCUCGU